UACGAGGGGUGCAAGCGUUGCUCGGAAUUAUUGGGCGUAAAGGGCAGGUAGGUGGUCUCAUUUGUCAGGGGUGAAAGCCUUGGGCUUAACCCAAGAAGUGCCUUUGAAACGGUGAGACUGGAGUCUUGGAGAGGGUCGUGGAAUUCCCCGUGUAGCAGUGAAAUGCGUAGAGAUGGGGAGGAACACCAGAGGCGAAGGCGGCGACCUGGACAAGUACUGACACUCAACUGCGAAAGCGUGGGUAGCAAACAGG
RNAcentral lists this ribosomal RNA (253 nucleotides) under uncultured bacterium. Its description in RNAcentral is "partial 16S ribosomal RNA". It matches the Rfam family "Bacterial small subunit ribosomal RNA", at positions 524 to 776 of the family's 1533-position model. The record is from RNAcentral.